RNAcentral lists this ribosomal RNA (796 nucleotides) under Escherichia coli. RNAcentral's name for it is "partial 23S ribosomal RNA". It matches the Rfam family "Bacterial large subunit ribosomal RNA", at positions 2135 to 2925 of the family's 2925-position model. Lineage: Bacteria; Pseudomonadati; Pseudomonadota; Gammaproteobacteria; Enterobacterales; Enterobacteriaceae. The record is from RNAcentral.
UGUGUAGGAUAGGUGGGAGGCUUUGAAGUGUGGACGCCAGUCUGCAUGGAGCCGACCUUGAAAUACCACCCUUUAAUGUUUGAUGUUCUAACGUUGACCCGUAAUCCGGGUUGCGGACAGUGUCUGGUGGGUAGUUUGACUGGGGCGGUCUCCUCCUAAAGAGUAACGGAGGAGCACGAAGGUUGGCUAAUCCUGGUCGGACAUCAGGAGGUUAGUGCAAUGGCAUAAGCCAGCUUGACUGCGAGCGUGACGGCGCGAGCAGGUGCGAAAGCAGGUCAUAGUGAUCCGGUGGUUCUGAAUGGAAGGGCCAUCGCUCAACGGAUAAAAGGUACUCCGGGGAUAACAGGCUGAUACCGCCCAAGAGUUCAUAUCGACGGCGGUGUUUGGCACCUCGAUGUCGGCUCAUCACAUCCUGGGGCUGAAGUAGGUCCCAAGGGUAUGGCUGUUCGCCAUUUAAAGUGGUACGCGAGCUGGGUUUAGAACGUCGUGAGACAGUUCGGUCCCUAUCUGCCGUGGGCGCUGGAGAACUGAGGGGGGCUGCUCCUAGUACGAGAGGACCGGAGUGGACGCAUCACUGGUGUUCGGGUUGUCAUGCCAAUGGCACUGCCCGGUAGCUAAAUGCGGAAGAGAUAAGUGCUGAAAGCAUCUAAGCACGAAACUUGCCCCGAGAUGAGUUCUCCCUGACUCCUUGAGAGUCCUGAAGGAACGUUGAAGACGACGACGUUGAUAGGCCGGGUGUGUAAGCGCAGCGAUGCGUUGAGCUAACCGGUACUAAUGAACCGUGAGGCUUAACCUU